UCUUGGGCAAUGGGCGCAAGCCUGACCCAGCAACGCCGCGUGGAGGAUGAAGCCCCUCGGGAUGUAAACUCCGAAAGAAGGGGACGAAUAAGCAUGGGCUAAUACCCCGUGCGAUGACGGUACCCUUUGUAAGCCCCGGCUAACUACGUGCCAGCAGCCGCGGUAAUACGUAGGGGGCAAGCGUUGUUCGGAUUUACUGGGCGUAAAGCGCGCGUAGGCGGCACUGCAAGUCACUUGUGAAAUCUCCGGGCUUAACUCGGUAGGGGCCAAGUGAUACUGCAGAGCUAGAGUGCGGAAGAGGCAGCUGGAAUUCUCGGUGUAGCGGUGAAAUGCGUAGAUAUCGAGAGGAACACCGAUGGCGAAGGCGGGCUGCUGGGCCGACACUGACGCUGAGGCGCGAA
RNAcentral lists this ribosomal RNA (401 nucleotides) under uncultured bacterium. Its description in RNAcentral is "bacterial SSU rRNA". It matches the Rfam family "Bacterial small subunit ribosomal RNA", at positions 362 to 757 of the family's 1533-position model. The record is from RNAcentral.